UCUUGUGGAUCAGUGGCGAACGGGUGAGUAACACGUGAGCAACCUGCCCCGGACUCUGGGAUAAGCGCUGGAAACGGCGUCUAAUACUGGAUAUGAGACGUGACCGCAUGGUCAACGUUUGGAAAGAUUUUUCGGUCUGGGAUGGGCUCGCGGCCUAUCAGCUUGUUGGUGAGGUAAUGGCUCACCAAGGCGUCGACGGGUAGCCGGCCUGAGAGGGUGACCGGCCACACUGGGACUGAGACACGGCCCAGACUCCUACGGGAGGCAGCAGUGGGGAAUAUUGCACAAUGGGCGAAAGCCUGAUGCAGCAACGCCGCGUGAGGGAUGACGGCCUUCGGGUUGUAAACCUCUUUUAGCAGGGAAGAAGCGAAAGUGACGGUACCUGCAGAAAAAGCGCCGGCUAACUACGUGCCAGCAGCCGCGGUAAUACGUAGGGCGCAAGCGUUAUCCGGAAUUAUUGGGCGUAAAGAGCUCGUAGGCGGUCUGUCGCGUCUGCUGUGAAAACUGGAGGCUCAACCUCCAGCCUGCAGUGGGUACGGGCAGACUAGAGUGCGGUAGGGGAGAUUGGAAUUCCUGGUGUAGCGGUGGAAUGCGCAGAUAUCAGGAGGAACACCGAUGGCGAAGGCAGAUCUCUGGGCCGUAACUGACGCUGAGGAGCGAAAGGGUGGGGAGCAAACAG
This 679-nucleotide ribosomal RNA is filed under the name Microbacterium sp. RNAcentral describes it as "bacterial SSU rRNA". It matches the Rfam family "Bacterial small subunit ribosomal RNA", at positions 83 to 775 of the family's 1533-position model. The record is from RNAcentral. Lineage: Bacteria; Bacillati; Actinomycetota; Actinomycetes; Micrococcales; Microbacteriaceae.